UCACACUAACAAAUGUUUUAAAACUACAAAAACUAAAUCCAAUUAACAAUGAAAAGAUAAUAAGAAAUGGGUAAAAUAUCUCAAUUGCUACCGAACUUUUUCAAAUAUUUUCCAAUAGCCAUUGAAAUAUAAAAGUUCCCAAAGUUGCCACAGAAUUUUUCGACAAGUUUCACAGUUUCAUUGAACGUUGUCCAAGUUACCUUUGAACUUAUAAAAAUAUUAUCAUAUUCGUCGCUUUGUCACUCGCUAUUUUAAAGCUUAAGGGAAUAGAUAACAUGGUAUGCAUAAUGAUGAACGUGAUAACAUUUUGGCACGUUCCUCAAGAUUGUUAAGUUUUCAAAUGAUGAGUGAUGGAGUGACUAAUGAAAUAACAUUUUGGUAAACUCAGUGGCUACUCAGAGAACUUUGAAUGUUCAGUGAAAUUAAUAAUAUUUGGGAGAGUCCAAUAACAAAUUUUGAGAACUUUUAAAGUUAUUCAUUUGGGAAAGGUCAAUGACAACUUGAAGAACUUAUAAAGUCAUACAGUUGGAAAAGUUCAAUGACAACAAUAAUAUUUAACCCAAGAAAAUAAGAAAGUGGGCUUAUCGGUAUCCAUCUUCAUGACAAGCCACAACACAUUUGUCAAAAAACUGUAAAAUGCCUAUUUGAUAACCUAAGUUCAUUUAGAUUUUCCAUUAGCAUAAAAGUAUUUGUUAUAUCUAACUAUUUUAUCCUCGCCUGGGAAGAAUUUUUGAACGAUUCAAUUUAUAAAUAUAUAGAAAUGAAUGGUAAAUAAGUGGCUAGUACUUGUGGAUCCAUUGAAAUAUGUUGUUGAAAAUGAAAUUUGAUUAUUUAUAACUUAUUUAUAUUUUUCCGGAGGCUUAAAUAUAGAGUUUUGGCAUAAACUUUUGAUACGACACUACAUAACAAAUUGAAAUGGAUUUAAUAUAUAAAGUAAGUUCAAGAGAUCUAGUAACAUACCAUUGAAGCUGUUGUCUACCAAAUAUAAACGCACAAGUGUUGAUAAGUUUCCAAUUUCAUUUGGAAUAUUUCCUGGCAAUCCAUUUAAACAUAUUGAUUUUAAAAUAUCAAACGUCAAAUUAACAUGAAUUAGAUCUAAUGGGAAAAGAAAUACCAACCAAUUUGAAAUUUUUUACCUACGAAGUUAUUGCCUGUUAAAUCUAACACUUGAAGUGCUGAUAAGGUUUCAAUUUCAUUUGGAAUACUUCCCAUGAAAUUGUUGUUAGAGAUGUCUAGAACUUGAAGUGCACGACAUUGCAAUAGACUUGGAAGUAUCUCUCCGUGAAAUUUGUUUUCACCGAGGUCUAAAUAUUCAAUCAUUGUAGCUCGGUUGCAUGGAUGUUGCAGAAACUUUCCAGAAAUUUGGUUACCUCUGACAGAUAUUUUCAGGAGAGAAGAGAUAUUGAAGAUGGUCGAAGGUAUGUCUCCUGCAAAACAUACCUUGAUAAUCACAUAAUCCCAGAGAUUCAAACGCACUGGCACGUGCACAUAGUAUCCCUUUUACAGUUACUAAGUUGACAUUUACCAAAAUUAAUAAGAGCAAAAUCACCGAUUAACAUCAAGGGCAGAUCCAGAAUUAUAAUUCGAUGGGGACGAGACAAAAAAUGAACUAAAAUAAAUUGUGAAAGAAACUAAAAAAAAUCUGAAAAUUUAAAUUUUAAAAAGCCCAAUUGAAGGUUUUUGAAAAUUCAGUGAGGGUGACUGACCCCAUUCUACCCUCAGUGGGUCCGCCCCUUAUUAACAUGGAUGGAGCUAUAAGAUUUUGUAAAUAUGUAGGCGUAUUAUUGCUAUGUUAUGCAAGUGGGUUGUUCCACUCUUGACCAAGUAGAAACAAGUAGAAAUUUUAUCCAUUGUAUCCCAUCAAGUGAUAUUGAAUAUUGCAUCCUACAAUUAUUAUUAUUAUUAUUAUUUUUUAUUUUUUUUUAAGGAGCAUGUGAUGAUAACUAAUUCUUUGUAUCAAUUUUCUAUAAGGCACGAGGCAUGACAAAGCAGCAAUAUCAAAACUCAAGUUUUACGAGCCCACACGUGUAAAUUUUGAGAACUUUUAAAGUUAUUCAUUUGGGAAAGGUCAAUGACAACU
This 2080-nucleotide long non-coding RNA is filed under the name Olea europaea (common olive). RNAcentral's name for it is "long non-coding RNA (OEUR_LNC001622)". The record is from RNAcentral. Lineage: Eukaryota; Viridiplantae; Streptophyta; Magnoliopsida; Lamiales; Oleaceae.